GUGAGGAAUUUUGCGCAAUGGCCGCAAGGCUGACGCAGCAACGCCGCGUGGGUGAUGAAGGCCUUCGGGUCGUAAAGCCCUGUCAGGUGGGAAGAAAGGCCUGGAGAGGAAAGGUUUCAGGUUUGACGGUACCACCAGAGGAAGCACCGGCUAACUCCGUGCCAGCAGCCGCGGUAAUACGGAGGGUGCGAGCGUUAUUCGGAAUUACUGGGCGUCAAGCGCGUGUAGGCGGGGGGACAAGGCUGAUGUGAAAGCCCUGGGCUUAACCUUGGAAGCGCAUUUGAAACUGUUUUUCUUGAGUACUGGAGAGGAAGGGGGAAUUCCCGGUGUAGAGGUGAAAUUCGUAGAGAUCGGGAGGAAUACCAGUGGCGUAGGCGCCCUUCUGGACGGUAACUGACGCUGAGACGCGAAAGCGUGGGGAGCAAACAGGAUUAGAUACCCUAGUAGUCC
This 450-nucleotide ribosomal RNA is filed under the name uncultured bacterium. RNAcentral's name for it is "partial 16S ribosomal RNA". It matches the Rfam family "Bacterial small subunit ribosomal RNA", at positions 354 to 796 of the family's 1533-position model. The record is from RNAcentral.